RNAcentral lists this transfer RNA (68 nucleotides) under Pauropus longiramus. Its description in RNAcentral is "tRNA-Asn". The record is from RNAcentral. Lineage: Eukaryota; Metazoa; Arthropoda; Pauropoda; Tetramerocerata; Pauropodidae.
UUAAUAAAAUCUUAAAGAAAUUUCACUGUUAAUGAAUAUAUGAGUCUCUCUCUUAUUGAGCUAUUAAU